UGCAAGUCGAGCGGACAGAAGGGAGCUUGCUCCCGGAUGUUAGCGGCGGACGGGUGAGUAACACGUGGGUAACCUGCCUGUAAGACUGGGAUAACUCCGGGAAACCGGAGCUAAUACCGGAUAGUUCCUUGAACCGCAUGGUUCAAGGAUGAAAGACGGUUUCGGCUGUCACUUGCAGAUGGACCCGCGGCGCAUUAGCUAGUUGGUGGGGUAAUGGCUCACCAAGGCGACGAUGCGUAGCCGACCUGAGAGGGUGAUCGGCCACACUGGGACUGAGACACGGCCCAGACUCCUACGGGAGGCAGCAGUAGGGAAUCUUCCGCAAUGGACGAAAGUCUGACGGAGCAACGCCGCGUGAGUGAUGAAGGUUUUCGGAUCGUAAAGCUCUGUUGUUAGGGAAGAACAAGUGCGAGAGUAACUGCUCGCACCUUGACGGUACCUAACCAGAAAGCCACGGCUAACUACGUGCCAGCAGCCGCGGUAAUACGUAGGUGGCAAGCGUUGUCCGGAAUUAUUGGGCGUAAAGGGCUCGCAGGCGGUUUCUUAAGUCUGAUGUGAAAGCCCCCGGCUCAACCGGGGAGGGUCAUUGGAAACUGGGAAACUUGAGUGCAGAAGAGGAGAGUGGAAUUCCACGUGUAGCGGUGAAAUGCGUAGAGAUGUGGAGGAACACCAGUGGCGAAGGCGACUCUCUGGUCUGUAACUGACGCUGAGGAGCGAAAGCGUGGGGAGCGAACAGGAUUAGAUACCCUGGUAGUCCACGCCGUAAACGAUGAGUGCUAAGUGUUAGGGGGUUUCCGCCCCUUAGUGCUGCAGCUAACGCAUUAAGCACUCCGCCUGGGGAGUACGGUCGCAAGACUGAAACUCAAAGGAAUUGACGGGGGCCCGCACAAGCGGUGGAGCAUGUGGUUUAAUUCGAAGCAACGCGAAGAACCUUACCAGGUCUUGACAUCCUCUGACAACCCUAGAGAUAGGGCUUUCCCUUCGGGGACAAAAUGACAAGUGGUGCAUGGUUGUCGUCACCUCCUGUCGUG
RNAcentral lists this ribosomal RNA (1031 nucleotides) under Bacillus safensis. RNAcentral describes it as "bacterial SSU rRNA". It matches the Rfam family "Bacterial small subunit ribosomal RNA", at positions 56 to 1069 of the family's 1533-position model. The record is from RNAcentral. Lineage: Bacteria; Bacillati; Bacillota; Bacilli; Caryophanales; Bacillaceae.